AGUUUCCACCAAACUCACUGCACACCAAAACCUAAUUUUAUUCUUCUCUGAUUCAAGUUUUGGCGGCGAGGUGGGAAUCCGGAUACCCAAAGCCCAAAUUCUUCCCCACCUUUCUUCGACUAAACCGCCUUUCUUUAAUAUCUCCAACCACUAACAACUUCAACCCUUGGGGUAGACGAUAUUGGUGGUAGAAUCGAAAUACGUAAAGGCUUAAUUGGUGGUGGAUCAUGUAAUGGAUGGCGGUUUCGGUGGUGGAAUUGGAUUGUGUAUCGAUUUAAUUGGAAGGCUUGGUGGUAGAUCUUCUCAGUCAGUUCAUUGAUCGAUAUCCUGGCGCGCGAAUGGGUGAUUUGGCGAUGGUACGCAGUAGCAGGCCUAGCGGCAUAGCAUAAUUAUACUCUCUCUUAAGGAACAGUUUAUAUAGCUUUUUCUCUUUAGUUUCAUGAUUCGGAACUGAUUGGGAAGAUGACUUCAGCAGUUGCAAUCGAAGAUGUUCGCAGGGAGGUGAAUAUAUUGAAAGCAUUAUCUGGAAAUCAGCAUAUGCUCAAAUUUUAUGAUGCAUUUGAGGAUACUAACAACGUCUACUUAUUAGUCAUGGAAUUGUGCGAAGGUGGUGAGCUAUUAGAUAGAAUUUUGCAAAGAGGUGGAAAAUAUGCCGAGGAAGAUGCCAAGUAAAUUGUGGUGCAAAUUUUAUCGGCAGUUGCAUUUUUCCAUCUUCAGGGUGUUGUGCACCGUGAUUUAAAACCAGUGUAUUUUCUUUUUGCUACAAAGGAUGAUGAUGCGCGCUUAAAGCAUUAAAGAAGUGUUCUUACAACGCUUUUCAAGAGAUGGCACUCCAACAAAGAAAACUUCAAAUAGUUAGAUUUUAUUUUGUUCUUUUAGAUUGAACAAGAAUUACUUAUCUUUUAGCUUUUUUAGAAUUUAAAGACUACGGGAUGUGAUUUUGAUUUCACAUAACUUGAAAUUCUAUUGUAAAAAAUCUUUUGAUUAAUGAAAUUUUCAUUUGUUUUAA
Molecule: long non-coding RNA, 1009 nt
Organism: Spinacia oleracea (spinach)
Lineage: Eukaryota; Viridiplantae; Streptophyta; Magnoliopsida; Caryophyllales; Amaranthaceae
Exons: 5
Source: RefSeq, a predicted model, not a curated record